Molecule: ribosomal RNA, 1950 nt
Filed under: Triticum aestivum (bread wheat)
Lineage: Eukaryota; Viridiplantae; Streptophyta; Magnoliopsida; Poales; Poaceae
Description: partial small subunit ribosomal RNA
Source: RNAcentral
AUGUCUUUUGUUGCCAACCUAAACCUAACUGGUCCUAUCCCUAGCAAUAAAAGUUUUAGUCUCCCGAUGCUGGAAGUAAUUGCCAUCGCUGAAAACUAUUUCACAGGUCAGAUUCCAUUAGGGUUUGUAUCUUGUCGGUACCUCCAAAUUAUUUCACUAGACACUAAUUCAUUUGGGGGUGUUGUGCCAACAUGGCUAGGCAAGCUGACUAAUCUCAUAUUCCUUUCCUUGAGUCAAAAUGGCCUUGUCGGCACAAUCCCUGUUGUACUUGGCAACCUCACUUUGCUAAUGUCCCUAGACCUCGGUAAAUGCAAUCUAACCGGAGGCAUUCCAGUAGAAUUUGGACAGCUAGGUCAACUCUCGGGUUUGAGUCUACAUGAUAAUCAACUAACGGGAUCUAUUCCAGCUUCUCUCGGUAACCUAUCGAAAUUAGCAUACCUGGGAUUAGCAUUUAAUAUGUUGGUUGGAUCGGUACCUUCAACAAUUGGAAACAUGCACUCUUUGGUGCAUAUCGAUAUUGCACAAAACAGCCUACAAGGAGAUCUCAACUUCUUGUCCAUGUUCACUAAUUUUAGAAGGCUCCAAUAUCUUAGCAUCGCAUCAAAUAAUUUCACUAGUUGUAACCUCCCUAAAUAUGUAGGAAAUUUAUCAGGCCAGCCGCAAUAUUUCAAUGCAUCGGGAAUAAACUUAGUCGGUGAAAUUCCACCUACGAUUUCAAAUUUAACCAGUCUCAUUGUGCUAGAUCUUUCAGAAAACCAACUACAUAGUGUAAUUCCACAAUCCAUCAUGAAAAUGGAGAAUCUACAAGAGCUUGACCUUUAUGAAAAUAACUUGCUAGGCACCAUCCCAUCUCCGAUUACAUUGCUAAAAAAUCUAGAAUUUUUGUUCCUCAAUGAUAAUGAAUUCACUGGUUGCAUACCAGAUGGCAUUGGUAACCUCAGCAAGUUGGUAUACCUGGAAUUAGCCGAUAACCGGUUAUCAUCCACAAUACCGCCAAGUUUAUUUCAUCUUUUUAGUCUUCUCCAGCUUGAUCUUUCUCAAAACCUUUUCAACGGCACAUUACCGCUUGAUAUAGGAUAUCUGAAACAAAUUAACUUCAUGGAUAUCUCUACCAAUCGUUUGGUUGGUAGCCUCCCGGAUUCAAUUGGACAACUCCAAAUGAUAGCCUACCUGAACCUAUCACACAAUUCUUCUAAUAAUUUGAUUCAUCGUUCUUUUGACAAGCUAGAAAGCAUGGAAACUUUGGACCUAUCCCAUAAUGAUCUAUCUGGUACCAUCCCAGAGUACCUUACCAAUUUUACCUACCUAACUAGUUUGAACCUCUCUUUCAAUAAGCUACAAGGCCGCAUACCAGAAGGAGGUGUCUUCUCAAACAUCAGUCUACAAUCCUUGAUGGGGAACUCGGGCCUAUGUGGUGCUUCAGCUUUAGGAUUUUCACAGUGUCCAAGUAACACUACCCAAAGAACAAAAGACCACAUGUUGAAAAUUUUGCUCCCUACUAUCAUCGUAGUAACUGGAGUUGUAUCUUCAUGCAUAUAUGUAAUAAUCCGAAAGAAAAUCAAGAAGCAACAAGGGAUGGCAGUUUCUACAGGUAUGGUUGACAUGAUCGGCCAUCAGUUGGUUUCCUACCAUGACCUCGUUCAUGCCACUGAAAAUUUUAGCGACAGCAACUUGUUGGGAUCUGGAAGCAUUGGAAAAGAUUUUAAGGGCCAACUAAGCAAUGGUGUGGUGGUUGCAGUAAAAGUUCUUGACAUGCAUUUGGAACAAGCCAUUAGAAGCUUCGAUGCCGAGCAUGGUGUGCUACGCAUGGCGCGGCACCGCAAUCUGGUAAGGAUCCUCAACACCUGCUCGAACCUUGAUUUCAGAGCACUGGUGCUGCCAUACAUGUGCAAUGGUAGCUUAGAGACGCUCCUUCACUCCUCUGGAGCCACAAGGAACUUGGGGUUCUAG